RNAcentral lists this long non-coding RNA (287 nucleotides) under Gossypium barbadense (sea-island cotton). RNAcentral's name for it is "long non-coding RNA (GBAR_LNC001513)". Lineage: Eukaryota; Viridiplantae; Streptophyta; Magnoliopsida; Malvales; Malvaceae. The record is from RNAcentral.
AAAAUUUGGUAUUUAUUUUUGAUUGUGUGUGUAUGACCAUGGAUAAUUGGCUGCACAAAUAUUAUAAAUACAUAAUGUAUGUUAAAUUUAUUAAGCUACAAAACAUUAUACAUGAUCGGCCAAAGUAAAUUAUUUGAGUAAAGUAUAUCUUGAUGGUACAUUUCGGCUAGUAUAAAAUGUAUAUGGAUGUCGUAUGACUAUGUUUAAUUUGGGAAGUAAAUUGUUUGAUUUAGCUCAAGGGCCUAGAGGAUCAAAGUUGGAUAAGGGAAAGGAAAAAGUGAUCGAAU